Molecule: long non-coding RNA, 330 nt
Filed under: Populus trichocarpa (black cottonwood)
Lineage: Eukaryota; Viridiplantae; Streptophyta; Magnoliopsida; Malpighiales; Salicaceae
Description: long non-coding RNA (PTRI_LNC002094)
Source: RNAcentral
CGAAAGUUUUGUACAUGAUGGACCCAGAGAAGUACUGGUUUGACAACUGAAAGCUCAAUGUUGUUGCCCAGGACUCGGACCUUUGAAUUCACAAAUCAACCGAUGACGCCGAAGCCUCUUUGGAACCCUGGUGCUCGCCCACCCACGUCCGAACUGGGCCAAGUAGAAGAUAAAUCCAACAAAAUGCUCGGUAGGGUAAGUAGCAUCAUAGCCCGAGUAUAAGCACUCGACUGCAUGCAAUCACAGCUCUCCAAACCCAGUAGGUUACAAAAUCAGGUCCAAGCCUAGGCCCCAACUAAAGGAAUAAAAAAAGAAAAAGGAGAUUCCAGC